This 445-nucleotide ribosomal RNA is filed under the name uncultured bacterium. Its description in RNAcentral is "bacterial SSU rRNA". It matches the Rfam family "Bacterial small subunit ribosomal RNA", at positions 420 to 882 of the family's 1533-position model. The record is from RNAcentral.
GGAUUGUAAACUCCUGUCGUUAGGGACGAUAAUGACGGUACCUAACAAGAAAGCACCGGCUAACUACGUGCCAGCAGCCGCGGUAAAACGUAGGGUGCAAGCGUUGUCCGGAAUUACUGGGUGUAAAGGGAGCGCAGGCGGGAAGACAAGUUGGAAGUGAAAACCAUGGGCUCAACCCAUGAAUUGCUUUCAAAACUGUUUUUCUUGAGUAGUGCAGAGGUAGAUGGAAUUCCCGGUGUAGCGGUGGAAUGCGUAGAUAUCGGGAGGAACACCAGUGGCGAAGGCGGUCUACUGGGCACCAACUGACGCUGAGGCUCGAAAGCAUGGGUAGCAAACAGGAUUAGAUACCCUGGUAGUCCAUGCCGUAAACGAUGAUUACUAGGUGUUGGGGGAUUGACCCCCUCAGUGCCGCAGUUCACACAAUAAGUAAUCCACCUGGGGAGUA